Long non-coding RNA from Herpailurus yagouaroundi (jaguarundi), 2236 nucleotides. RefSeq lists it as uncharacterized. The record is from RefSeq and is a predicted model, not a curated record. Lineage: Eukaryota; Metazoa; Chordata; Mammalia; Carnivora; Felidae. The transcript is spliced from 3 exons.
GUCCUUCCCAGCUGGCUAUGGGACUUGAAGCAUCUCAUGCCCACCAGAUGGUACACGGUGCCUGAGGAGAAGCCCAGGGAGGACAGAACAGCUGUGAGCCUCAAAAAUGAGCCCAUUUUCAACUCCGCUGGGGCAAUAGACUGUCAAAAAGUGGCUCAUAAAAUAGCUUUUUCAUUUAGUCACUCAAUAACUAAUUACAGAGUGACUGCUGGGUACAAGGCAUUUUUCUGCCCCUGCUCCCCCGCCCCAGGUGUGAACACCAGCCCUGCAGCCCCUCCAACGUACAGCAGACGCUAAAUCCAGGAGGCGGCUCAGGCACCAGAGUAAUUCGCAGUUAUGGGAGCCUUUAAACAAUCUCAUUCACUUGCCUUGCCCUAAUCUAACUUCCUCUCCCGGGAUAUGUCUGCAAGACUCAUUACUAAGAAAUGCUGGCCUCGGCCACAUCAUAGACUUAAGACUCCAGCCCCUCUGCUGCCAUGAGCAAACCUCAGCUGUUCCAAAGCGAAGCCGUAUUUCACCUCUCCCAAGAGGCCAGAUCGAAGCCACACUACAGAUUCCAGAAGGAUGGGCAGAUGCGGGGAUGUGAAGAUCUUGGGUGGAUCAACAGCACAGAGGAGAAGGAAAAUCCUGUGAUGUGAAAUAUUCUCCAGCAAGAAAAGCAAUAGGAGAAGUGACCGCGAAGCCACUUCAGCUGUUUGUGCUCUCUCUCUCUCUCAGAAUCCCUCCAGUAAAUAGUUAAAAAAAAAAAAAAAAAGAUGGUGGCUUUGGAGCGCAUGUUUUUACUGGAAUUGGAAGGGGUUUUAUCAAGAGAAGUCCAGAACACUCCCUUCUCACCUGAAGGAGGACAACACCAUCCGCGCCCCCCUUCGCCCCCAUUACAGCACCAGCUUGGGGAAGAGAGCUCAUGAGCUCUUAGCAAUUCCCCUAUUUGCAGACUGAAGCUCCUUUGCUCAAAAACUGAUGAAUACGUUUUCUUUUGUGGCAUGAAAAUAGGUGACCUUUUCCCCCUGAAUUCCCAUCCUGGGGGCCAGGGAAGAGAGCCCAGGAUCCCUUCUCUUGGCCCUUGCACCGUGGGAAAGAGAAUCCAGAGUUGAAAAGCCUGAGAAAUGCCCUGGAACAGCUUUGAAAGUCACUCAGCGUGAGCGUUUGCCCUCUGAAAAAUCAUCCCCGUUGUAUCGCGACAGGCACGCCUUGGGGUCUGUGACCCGGUCCCAGACACAGAGCUGAUUCCCUGUGUCAGCAGAUUCACACCACUUGUCUCGCUUCUGAGAACAGUUUCUAAAGAAUUAUCUGGUGAAGUCAGUUUCCUAGGAGAAUCCAUCACAUCUCCCCAGCAGAUAUUUCCACCCUUGCAAACCAUUAGAUAAACUUAAAGAACAAAUUAGUCCUCACUGUCGGCCCCCGCCCCCAGCCCUCUCCAGGCCACCACUUAAAUCAUGCUACUUUCUCAGUGGAUUUGAAGCAAGCUUUCAGAUCGGAGCCCUCCAACCAAGAGACCAAGGACAUAACUCAUAAGAACAAUCGCCCAACAGCUGUCUCUUCAACUUCUCCCAUCUGGUAUCUGCUCCCUUGUGAAUGGGGCACCCACCAGCAGGAAGGGUUAGGGCUGGGGUGAGUUAAGUCUUGAAAAGAAAGGGGUGACAGAAAAGGAGUGAGAUCAAAACGGUCCCAGGAGGCAAGUGUCGGUCAAGGGCUUUGAAACCCUUCAAAUAGCUACUUCUGCUCUGUCUUGAUUUUGUCCCACUCUCCGCUGUUACAUACCUGCCACCCUAGAAAAACCACGAGCUCUGUGUGGCCACUGGCAAUCAGCUGCUGGUCACUUUAUAAAAGAGUCUGCUCCUCUCCAGAAUCAGAACAAAAUCUACGUUGAUUCACUUGGUUUCCCUAAACUGAAUUAAGCAUCAGAGCGGCACAGUAGGCUGGGAGAAGGACAGAUUUCGCCGUCAGGUAAGCCCGAGUUCCACGUUUUGCCUUUGACACUGGUGGUCAAGGCAGGCAAGGUGGUCAAGGCAGGUUAGUCACGGAGUCUCUGCUGUCUGCUCUGUAAAACCGAAGUGGUUACACUUACCUUGUAUGACUCAAAUAAGAAUAAAAUGGGGGAGGGAGGAUGAAAUGACAGUAGCUAUUUAACACACUUGACGGAGUGUCCUAAUGAAUAGCACCUAGUUCCCUGUGUCUUUGUUGUACAUACAGCCAUAACUGGGAUCCCAUCAUUAAACUGGUUCCGACAUUUUGA